GGACUACCCGGGUAUCUAAUCCUGUUUGCUCCCCACGCUUUCGUGCCUCAACGUCAGGAAUGAGCCAAGAAGCUGCCUUCGCCAUUGGUGUUCCUCCUGAGAUCCACGCAUUUUACCGCUACUCCAGGAAUUCCACUUCUCUCUCUCAACCUCUAGUACGCCAGUUUUCAUCGCAACCCUCCAGUUAGGCUAGAGUCUUUAACGACAAACUUAACAUACCGUCUACGCACCCUUUACGCCCAGUGAUUCCGAAUAACGCUUGCACCCUUCGUAUUACCGCGGCUGCUGGCAC
This 292-nucleotide ribosomal RNA is filed under the name uncultured bacterium. RNAcentral's name for it is "partial 16S ribosomal RNA". The record is from RNAcentral.